CAUGUGCUGGUGUUUGAUAUUUGAUUUGAUUGAUUUGAAUGAUUUGAUAUUCCCGCCCAAAUUGUGAAUGCACCUCCAAUCGCAUACCCAGUAUCGAUACCGUGUCGAUAUGUAUUGAUCGGCUGCCGCCAAAAAGUUGUGUUCCUCGCGGUUUUUACUAAUUAUUGGAGAAUUUUAAGUUUAAUUGGUGUGAAAGUUAAGUUUAAUGAGUUUAAUAUCAAUUGCAAGUCUUUGUCAAGCAGUGAGUGUUUUUUGUUUUGUGCAAAUCCAAGAAAAACUUGUAGAUAGCGACGGAGAUUCUACUCCUGAAAGGUAGGAGAGACGCUGAAACUUCCCAUUAACUCAGAGGCGCCAAAAAGAAGGAAGGACCACGUGGCGAUGGAGGAGCAGGUGGAGGACCAGGAGCAGCAUCAGGAGCAGCCCGUGCAGGAGCUGGAGCGGAAAUGCGAAAAAUGUGUAAAUUUCGGCUUGCUUUUAUUUCUCGCAUUUUCGCCCCGUGAUGAUGUGUAGGUCGCUGAUCCGCUUUGGCAGCGCACCAAGACUUGCCAGACUUUCGAGGCGGCAUUCGAGUCGCCUGCCCCCCCACCGGAAUCCAUUUAAGAACAGUUUCGAGAGAGCACUGUGAGUCCCUGGAUCGAUGGCGACAGGCCGCAGCUGCGGACCAUUUAGAAGACCAUGCCGGAGACGUUUAGUAAAUAUUCAAUCAAUUUAGAUUGAAGGCCCCAGUCGAUAUAAUAAAUCACAAGCAAAAUCAAGAAGGUCUCCAUUUCAGAGCUGUGUUUUGUGGAGACGGACAUGGAGACGAGAUAUGCGUCAUAACAAUAAAAAUUCUGGCAUUUCCCAUUUCCCCGCUGUGCGGCUAAAUAACGAAAAUAUACAAGACAAGUCGACAGGCCAUAAUAUAUCAUGGCCCAAAGGCGUUCGACGAUACACACACACAGGCACACAUAGCAAAAGAAGGACCAAACUGGAGCAGAUCAAGCAGAAGCAGCGGCUGUAGUCUGUGGAAGGACAUCGAGCGCCGUCGCCCGUAAUGGCUGUCAUGGGGAUGGCUCCCGUUCGGCUUCUGGCCCUGGCCCUAUCUCUGGCUCGUCUGCGUUAACUGGGAAUCAAUGACAUAUCGUCAUGGCAAAUACGCAUGCCCUCGGGGGACGGUGAGGGAGAUUGAGCCAUAAAAACCGUGGAAUAAAAUAAUAACCAGGAUAAUACACCAAGCAUAUGUCCUGUCAAUGAUGCAGCCAUUAGCGACAAAUCCCGCCAUCGAGAGGAGGCUUUAAAUCUGAUCCGAUUACCUGAAGCUAAUUGCCAGACAAACUUCUCUCACUCUCGCUCUCUAGUCUAAGCCCGCGCCAAAUGGGAAGGGGCAGAGUUGCUCUACUGCCGAGUAAGACACUAAAAACCCUCGCCGGAUAUAGCCUGGAGCGAGGGCUCC
Drosophila miranda is the source of this 1432-nucleotide long non-coding RNA. RefSeq lists it as uncharacterized. Lineage: Eukaryota; Metazoa; Arthropoda; Insecta; Diptera; Drosophilidae. The record is from RefSeq and is a predicted model, not a curated record. The transcript has 4 exons.